AGAAGGAGAAAGCUGGGAGACGGGCAGGAAUAAUCGAGAAAGAGAGAGAGACCAAGAGGAACAAAAAAAGAAUAAUUGCUGGCCGACGAUGUGUAGGAGGUGAGAUACCCUUCUUCAAGUAUGAGGUUUUCUUUCAUAGCCUCAUUUCUUCUACAAUCACAAGUGGGUAAGUUUUAUACAAACUUAAAUUUCUUAUUUGGCUCCAAUAAGUGAUAAAGAAGUUCAAUUUAUUGAUGGUUUAGUAUGGGUAAACUAUUUUUGAAGCUUUUAAGUUAUGUGAAUCAAAUAUUUAUAAAUUUUCGGGUUGGAGCUUUGUUAAUGAAAAAUUCAGCAAGUAAUUGGAUUAAAAUUGAAAUUUAAAUAAAGAAACCAAAAGGUAAGUGAGGAUUUGGGUCAACUAAUGAAUUGUUUGGCACACGUAUAUGUUUAGUGGCUGAAAGUAUUAAGAAGGGAACGUACCUAAUUGCAUAGCUUGAUGCCAGUGCGGAGUAGUAGUAAACUGAUGAAGAAGAGAUCAAUUGUAUUUAACUGGAAUUCGAUUUAGCCUAAAUGUGGUAAGUUCUUUAUUUAGUAAUUUUAAUAUUAUAGAGCAAAUAAAAAGGGACACUAUUUAUAGUGUAAAUUCAAGAUGUUGGAAGGCAGUAUGUUAUUGUGCCAAUGUAGUGGGGAAAUGAAUGUGGAAAAGAUAUUCUGUAAAUAAACCGGUAAAUGGGAAAUUGUGUAUAUAUUGGCAUAUGGAUAUGUGUGCCCACUUGACUAAAAUGGGAAGAAAGAAAUGAAGAAAUAAUAGUUGAGAUUUUGAGGUUUCCUAUCCAUGUAUGGGUUCGGAAAUUGGAUUCAAUAGUUAUUAAUUUGAAUAAAUGAUUCAUUUUUCAGGAGAUAGCGAGACUGAGAAAUCUUGUUGGUGGAAUUAAUCUUUGUUCGAUACAUAGUCCUGUGAGUGGAAAAAUAUAAAUCUUUUUAAAGUAUUUAUAAAUUAAGUUUAUUGUUAAAGUAUGUGCAAUUAUAUGCAAUUAUGUAUUCGAAUUACAUGGUUAUUAUGAAAAUAUCUUUUAUUAUGAUGCAUGUGGGAUUUCAAAGAUUGUAUACGGUACAUUGUGAAUUGAAAUAUGAGAUGUGAUUUUGAGAUCGACUAGAAAAGUACCCGUGAUUUUAUAUUUCUUCUAGUUCACUGAGGGGCAUUAGCCGUGUUCUAUACUACACUGAGGGGUCUUGGACCGAGGUUGAAGGGGUCUCGACCGUGUACAUAUAGUUCACUAAGGGGCAUAGGCCGUGUUCUAGAAUUGAUUGUGAGAGGUCUUGAGACCAGCUUUCGUUCACGGAGAGGCCAAAGGCCCGUGGCGAAAGUUCUUAGCCCGAGGGUCGGAUUACAGAUUUUAGUCAGAUGGUACAUUUUUUGGUGGAUUUUUCAGUACAUUUGAUGUGAUGGGAUUAUAGCAUAAUUACCAGCUUAUGUUUAUAUCAUGACUUGAGAUGAUAUUUUACCACGCUAUAUGAAUGUCUCACGUUUUGACUAUAAUUACAUGAUGUUAUCUUGGGAGUUAUCAAUGAUAUGAACUCGAUUUUCGAUAAAAAUGUAAAAAUGAAAAAAGUAUAAUUAUUUUCGAGCUUCUCUACUCACUGAGCUAUCAACUCAUAUAUUUUUCCGUAAUUUUUCUACAGAUGGAAAUUGAUUGUUUCUAGCUGGAAGAGCCUAAUGAUUUCAGAAUGAGAACCACACGACAUGUUGAAUAUUAUAACUCAUAUUGAUCAAGCACGAAGUAAAUAUUUUGGGCCCAUUGCAUUAUGUUUUACAUAAGCAUUUGAUUUUGUUGUAUUUUUUGAAAUAACUCAUAGUUAGCCUCGGUGAUAGAUUUGACAUCUAAUCAGCAUCUAUCAUCGGCGCACGUCACAUUUCGGGUCCAUUAGGGUGAUUUGGGACGGGGUCGUAUCAGUGUGACUUUCUUAUAAAAUUGUGCUUCAUUUUCACUUUCUAUUUUCAUCACACUAUCGAUUUUUAUAUCUGGUUCCUGUAAUACAACUAACGUUUUAGAAUAAAAAAUGCUAAAGUGUUAAAGCAAGUAAUAUUAAACAAUGUUAGAAUUUUAAUUUUACCUUUUCGAAAUGGUUCAUUAUGUCAUUGGAAGUAGUUUCCAAUAAUAUUUCUAUUGUGUCCC
RNAcentral lists this long non-coding RNA (2156 nucleotides) under Olea europaea subsp. europaea. The record is from RNAcentral. Lineage: Eukaryota; Viridiplantae; Streptophyta; Magnoliopsida; Lamiales; Oleaceae.